Molecule: long non-coding RNA, 498 nt
Filed under: Chrysemys picta bellii (western painted turtle)
Lineage: Eukaryota; Metazoa; Chordata; Testudines; Emydidae
Description: lncRNA (ENSCPBG00000000347.1)
Source: RNAcentral
CGCUUCAUCCAGACGUAUCAGCCCACAUGGUCACAGCCUGUCCAGCCGUGAGGAUGCACUGAUGGCGCUUUGGUGGCAAAGAGUUAAUGAUAGCAGUGGUCUGGGGGGGUCCCAAGGACCUAAAGGGCCACACGCUGAUUGGCGACCGCCUGCUGGAUGGCUCUGAUCGGACCAGCCCAGUGCGGUGCCCUUCCACCCUCUGUCGUGUUGACGCACCCUUGUUGGCUGUUCCUUGUGCAGAGAACGGCUACGCCAGCACGGACGAGGAGAUCUCGGAGUUCAGCUGGCCUCGGAGGGGAGCUUCUCCCAGUUUUUCACCAUGAAGGGCUCGGCCAGCCAGGACGACUUCAAGUUCAAGGGGGAACCCAAGCUGUCAGGCCAGAUGAAGGCUGUGUCGACCGAGUGCCUGGGACCCACGCUGGACAUCUCCACCAAGAACAUCACCAAGUUCUUGGUGUCCCUCAUGGAGAUCAAGGAAGACGGGAUCGGCUUUUCCAU